GGUUAAGCGACUAAGCGUACACGGUGGAUGCCCUGGCAGUCAGAGGCGAUGAAGGACGUGCUAAUCUGCGAUAAGCGUCGGUAAGGUGAUAUGAACCGUUAUAACCGGCGAUUUCCGAAUGGGGAAACCCAGUGUGAUUCGUCACACUAUCAUUAACUGAAUCCAUAGGUUAAUGAGGCGAACCGGGGGAACUGAAACAUCUAAGUACCCCGAGGAAAAGAAAUCAACCGAGAUUCCCCCAGUAGCGGCGAGCGAACGGGGAGCAGCCCAGAGCCUGAAUCAGUGUGUGUGUUAGUGGAAGCGUCUGGAAAGGCGCGCGAUACAGGGUGACAGCCCCGUACACAAAAAUGCACAUGCUGUGAGCUCGAUGAGUAGGGCGGGACACGUGGUAUCCUGUCUGAAUAUGGGGGGACCAUCCUCCAAGGCUAAAUACUCCUGACUGACCGAUAGUGAACCAGUACCGUGAGGGAAAGGCGAAAAGAACCCCGGCGAGGGGAGUGAAAAAGAACCUGAAACCGUGUACGUACAAGCAGUGGGAGCACGCUUAGGCGUGUGACUGCGUACCUUUUGUAUAAUGGGUCAGCGACUUAUAUUCUGUAGCAAGGUUAACCGAAUAGGGGAGCCGAAGGGAAACCGAGUCUUAACUGGGCGUUAAGUUGCAGGGUAUAGACCCGAAACCCGGUGAUCUAGCCAUGGGCAGGUUGAAGGUUGGGUAACACUAACUGGAGGACCGAACCGACUAAUGUUGAAAAAUUAGCGGAUGACUUGUGGCUGGGGGUGAAAGGCCAAUCAAACCGGGAGAUAGCUGGUUCUCCCCGAAAGCUAUUUAGGUAGCGCCUCGUGAAUUCAUCUCCGGGGGUAGAGCACUGUUUCGGCAAGGGGGUCAUCCCGACUUACCAACCCGAUGCAAACUGCGAAUACCGGAGAAUGUUAUCACGGGAGACACACGGCGGGUGCUAACGUCCGUCGUGAAGAGGGAAACAACCCAAACCGCCAGCUAAGGUCCCAAAGUCAUGGUUAAGUGGGAAACGAUGUGGGAAGGCCCAGACAGCCAGGAUGUUGGCUUAGAAGCAGCCAUCAUUUAAAGAAAGCGUAAUAGCUCACUGGUCGAGUCGGCCUGCGCGGAAGAUGUAACGGGGCUAAACCAUGCACCGAAGCUGCGGCAGCGACGCUGAUGCGUUGUUGGGUAGGGGAGCGUUCUGUAAGCCUGCGAAGGUGUGCUGUGAGGCAUGCUGGAGGUAUCAGAAGUGCGAAUGCUGACAUAAGUAACGAUAAAGCGGGUGAAAAGCCCGCUCGCCGGAAGACCAAGGGUUCCUGUCCAACGUUAAUCGGGGCAGGGUGAGUCGACCCCUAAGGCGAGGCCGAAAGGCGUAGUCGAUGGGAAACAGGUUAAUAUUCCUGUACUUGGUGUUACUGCGAAGGGGGGACGGAGAAGGCUAUGUUGGCCGGGCGACGGUUGUCCCGGUUUAAGCGUGUAGGCUGGUUUUCCAGGCAAAUCCGGAAAAUCAAGGCUGAGGCGUGAUGACGAGGCACUACGGUGCUGAAGCAACAAAUGCCCUGCUUCCAGGAAAAGCCUCUAAGCAUCAGGUAACAUCAAAUCGUACCCCAAACCGACACAGGUGGUCAGGUAGAGAAUACCAAGGCGCUUGAGAGAACUCGGGUGAAGGAACUAGGCAAAAUGGUGCCGUAACUUCGGGAGAAGGCACGCUGAUAUGUAGGUGAAGUCCCUCGCGGAUGGAGCUGAAAUCAGUCGAAGAUACCAGCUGGCUGCAACUGUUUAUUAAAAACACAGCACUGUGCAAACACGAAAGUGGACGUAUACGGUGUGACGCCUGCCCGGUGCCGGAAGGUUAAUUGAUGGGGUUAGCGCAAGCGAAGCUCUUGAUCGAAGCCCCGGUAAACGGCGGCCGUAACUAUAACGGUCCUAAGGUAGCGAAAUUCCUUGUCGGGUAAGUUCCGACCUGCACGAAUGGCGUAAUGAUGGCCAGGCUGUCUCCACCCGAGACUCAGUGAAAUUGAACUCGCUGUGAAGAUGCAGUGUACCCGCGGCAAGACGGAAAGACCCCGUGAACCUUUACUAUAGCUUGACACUGAACAUUGAGCCUUGAUGUGUAGGAUAGGUGGGAGGCUUUGAAGUGUGGACGCCAGUCUGCAUGGAGCCGACCUUGAAAUACCACCCUUUAAUGUUUGAUGUUCUAACGUGGACCCGUAAUCCGGGUUGCGGACAGUGUCUGGUGGGUAGUUUGACUGGGGCGGUCUCCUCCUAAAGAGUAACGGAGGAGCACGAAGGUUGGCUAAUCCUGGUCGGACAUCAGGAGGUUAGUGCAAUGGCAUAAGCCAGCUUGACUGCGAGCGUGACGGCGCGAGCAGGUGCGAAAGCAGGUCAUAGUGAUCCGGUGGUUCUGAAUGGAAGGGCCAUCGCUCAACGGAUAAAAGGUACUCCGGGGAUAACAGGCUGAUACCGCCCAAGAGUUCAUAUCGACGGCGGUGUUUGGCACCUCGAUGUCGGCUCAUCACAUCCUGGGGCUGAAGUAGGUCCCAAGGGUAUGGCUGUUCGCCAUUUAAAGUGGUACGCGAGCUGGGUUUAGAACGUCGUGAGACAGUUCGGUCCCUAUCUGCCGUGGGCGCUGGAGAACUGAGGGGGGCUGCUCCUAGUACGAGAGGACCGGAGUGGACGCAUCACUGGUGUUCGGGUUGUCAUGCCAAUGGCACUGCCCGGUAGCUAAAUGCGGAAGAGAUAAGUGCUGAAAGCAUCUAAGCACGAAACUUGCCCCGAGAUGAGUUCUCCCUGACUCCUUGAGAGUCCUGAAGGAACGUUGAAGACGACGACGUUGAUAGGCCGGGUGUGUAAGCGCAGCGAUGCGUUGAGCUAACCGGUACUAAUGAACCGUGAGGCUUAACCUU
This 2904-nucleotide ribosomal RNA is filed under the name Escherichia coli. RNAcentral describes it as "23S ribosomal RNA". It matches the Rfam family "Bacterial large subunit ribosomal RNA". The record is from RNAcentral. Lineage: Bacteria; Pseudomonadati; Pseudomonadota; Gammaproteobacteria; Enterobacterales; Enterobacteriaceae.